UUUGCUAGAUGGGGUCACAGAAAAAAACAAACAAAAAAAAAUUCAAGCCCUGAAUUCUUUAGUAUCACAUGAAAGAAAGUUAUGCAGCAGAAUAUUAACACCUAAAUAAAGGGUUGUAAAAGCACAAGAACAACAAAAGACAUGUUCCAGCCCUUUGACAAGCUGGCUACCACUCCUCAAGAUUAUAUGAACUGGUAUUUAGUUAGCCACAGACUUCCUGAGAAAGCAACUGCACCUAAAACCAUCUCAGGCUCUACUCAAGCUGAGCGGGAACAUUGCAGAAUCAGGACUCAAGUCCGUCCUAAGCUGUGUUCCCUACAUGCAAAUCCAUAUGCAGAAAUCCUAACCUUCAAAGUGACAGCAUUAGGAGGCAGGGCCUUUGGUAGACACUCAGAUCAGGAAGGUUGAACCCUCAUGCUUGGGUUAGUCCUGGAGAUCCCUUGCCCCUUCUGCCAUGUGAGGACACAGCAAGAAAGCACCACUGUGAACCAGGAAGCAGCCCCUCACCAGACACUGAAUCUGCCAGCACCUUGAUCUUACACUUCCCAAACUCCAGAACUGUGGGAAAUAAAUUUCUCUUGUGUGUAGCCACCCACUCUAUGAUAUUUUGUUAUAGCAACUGGAAUGGACUGAGACAGUUAAUGACUAUGUAAACUGAUGGGGGUCAUGUAGUGGUUAGUAAUAC
RNAcentral lists this long non-coding RNA (685 nucleotides) under Marmota monax (woodchuck). The record is from RNAcentral. Lineage: Eukaryota; Metazoa; Chordata; Mammalia; Rodentia; Sciuridae.